RNAcentral lists this ribosomal RNA (3159 nucleotides) under Stylops melittae. RNAcentral's name for it is "18S ribosomal RNA". It matches the Rfam family "Eukaryotic small subunit ribosomal RNA". The record is from RNAcentral. Lineage: Eukaryota; Metazoa; Arthropoda; Insecta; Strepsiptera; Stylopidae.
UACCUGGUGGAUCCUGCCAGUAGUUAUAUGCUUGUCUCAAAGAUUAAGCCAUGCAUGUCUAAGUACUAGCCAAAUUAUAAAAAUGGUGAAACCGCGAAAGGCUCAUUAAAUCGGCUUUGGUUCCUUAGAUAGUAUGCAGAUCCGAAUAUUUUUUCAAAAAUGUUUUGAAAAAAAAUGAAAAUCUGAAAUGGAUAACUGUGGUAAUUCUAGAGCUAAUACAUGAAAAAUGAAUUGAGUGCGAAACUUUUGUCAAAAGAAGUUUUGCACGCUUUUAUUAGAGGAAAAAGCCAAUUUUUAAGACGAAAAAAAAAUUAUUUUUUUUUCCGAACUUAAACUAAAUUUAAACUGGUGUUGAAUCUGAAUAACUUGAAUGAAUUUCUUUCGAAAGAAUUUAUUUGUAUAAGUUUUCUCCUUUAUGUUUUUUAUAAGCGUAAGGCGUGUGAAAUUUUUAAGAGUAAAUUUGACUAGAAAGAAAUUUAAAGCAGACCGCAGUAAAAAACUUUUCUUUUCCACACAACAAGUUCGAUCUUGUUUGGCGAAAUGAAAUAGUAAUGCGGCGUAUCUUUCAAUUGUCUGCCUUAUCAACUGUCGAUGGUAGAUUACAUGUCUACCAUGGUUGUAACGGGUAACGGGGAAUCAGGGUUCGAUUCCGGAGAGGGAGCCUGAGAAACGGCUACCACAUCUAAGGAAGGCAGCAGGCACGCAAAUUACCCACUCCCGGCACGGGGAGGUAGUGACAAUAAAUAACGAUCCGAAACUCUAAUGAGUUUCCGUAAUCGGAAUGAGUACAAUUUAAAUCCUUUAACGAGGAACAAAUGGAGGGCAAGUCUGGUGCCAGCAGCCGCGGUAAUUCCAGCUCCAUUAGCAUAUAUUAAAGUUGUUGCGUUUAAAAAGCUCGUAGUUGAAUCUGUAUCUCAUACUGUCAAUCGCUCGUAAUUUAAUUUAUCGUAGUUUGAUUUGACAUUGUGUAUGAGAUAUAAAUGCUGGUGGAUUUUUCCUAAUCGAUAUCGUUUGAAAAUGUGUGGAAAAAAAAGUUCUACCUUUGUUCAAAUAUUAUUUCUUUGCAAAUAUGUUUGAGACAAUGGGUUUUUUUUUCCCCCGUUUUCUGUUUAUCGAUUUUAAAAUCCGAUACAAUUGUUUUUGAAUAUUAAAGAAGAAAUCCAAUUUCUCUUUGAAAAACAGUUACAAAAAAUUUUGUAAUUUUUUGUGUUGUUUUUCAUUUCAAAUGGGAAAUUAUUUCUUUUUUUCAAAUUCAAUUGUAUUCUGAUAAAAAUUUUUUUUCAAAAUUUUUAUAAGACCAGUAAAAUUACUUUGAACAAAUUAGAGUGCUUAAUGCAGGCAAAUUUAUAUGCCAUGAAUAAAACAGCAUGGAAUAAUAGAAUAUGAUCUCGAUACUGUUUUUUUGUAAAAUGAAUUAUUCUUUUUUCUUUGUGUGUUCGUUUUGAAACUUUCUCUAUUUCAACGUUCCGAAAAAGAAAUAAUUUAAGAAAUUGGCUUAAAGAAAUAAAUAGUUAUGUUUAGAAUUGUUGCAUUUUUAAAAUUCGUCAAAGUGAAAAGAGGAUCGUAAUUGAUUCUCUGUAAGAGAAUUAAAAAUGAAAUUGAAAAAUUUCUUUUUUUUUCUCGAACUUUGUCGAAUGUGUAAACAAUUUUACGUAUUUAUUUCGACAGUAUGUCGAGAUAAUGAUCAAUAGAGACGGAUGGGGGCAUUCGUACUACGACGCUAGAGGUGAAAUUCUUGGACCGUCGUAAGACGAACUGAAGCGAAAGCGUUUGUCAAAAACGUUUUCAUUGAUCAAGAACGAAAGCUAGAGGUUCGAAGGCGAUCAGAUACCGCCCUAGUUCUAACCAUAAACGAUGCCGACCAGCGAUCCGUCGAUGUUCAUUUAAUUUGACUCGACGGGCAGCUUCCGGGAAACCAAAGUUUUUGGGUUCCGGGGGAAGUAUGGUUGCAAAGCUGAAACUUAAAGGAAUUGACGGAAGGGCACCACCAGGAGUGGAGCUUGCGGCUUAAUUUGACUCAACACGGGAAAUCUCACCAGGCCCAGACACCGAAAGGAUUGACAGAUUAAUAGCUCUUUCUUGAUUCGGUGGGUGGUGGUGCAUGGCCGUUCUUAGUUGGUGGAGCGAUUUGUCUGGUUAAUUCCGAUAACGAACGAGACUCUAGCCUACUAACUAGACGUUAAACGUAUCGCUAAAUGGUUCAUGGGUUGUUGAUUUUUUAUUUUUGAUUUUUUCACUCUGUAUAUACAUGACCUUUUGUGUACUGUUUGUGUGUUGUGGGUGCGCGCGUGUCUGUGUGCGUCUGUGUACUUGUGCAAUUCACACACUUGCUGUGUGUUUUGUUACACUGUUUCGUCGCACAUGGGCACCAACACGCACACACACAUACAUUUAAAUAGUAUAUUUUAAGGUUGUGUGUUUAUGUGUGAAAACGGAUCGUUAAAAAAUUUAACAAUUCUGUUGUUUAGUCGAUCGUUUUAUCCGAUAUUUUGAAGCUGUUCAAAUGAUUUUUUUUUUCAUAAAAUUUUUCGUUGUCGUGUGUUACUCUCUCGUUUUUGUUUUUUUUCGAUUUUUUCUCUCAGAGAGGUGAAAUUUUGUUUUGUCCUCUUUGUUUGAGAAAAUCGACUAAAAUAUGCGUGAGAGUAUAUAUAUACACGUUCGGCGGGACGAUUUUGUGUUGAGAAAAUUCUUUUGCUUUCGCUAUCGGCGUAUUUUAAAACCUCUUCUUAGAGGGACAGGUGGAUUUAUAAGCCACACGAGAAGGAGCAAUAACAGGUCUGUGAUGCCCUUAGAUGUUCUGGGCCGCACGCGUGCUACACUGAAAAAAUCAACGUGUUUAUGUAAAAUUUUCUUUUCCGAUAGGAAUGGAUAAACCGUUGAAAAUUUUUCGUGAUAGGAAUCGGAGAUUGAAAUUAUUCUCCGUGAACGAGGAAUUCCCAGUAAGCGUGAGUCAUAAGCUCGCGUUGAUUACGUCCCUGCCCUUUGUACACACCGCCCGUCGCUACUACCGAUUGAAUGAUUUAGUGAGGUCUUCGGACUGUCACACGCUUAGCAUUUCGAUGCUAUCGUUGUUGAUAGAAAGAUGACCAAACUUGAUCAUUUAGAGGAAGUAAAAGUCGUAACAAGGUUUCCGUAGGUGAACCUGCAGAAGGAUCAUUA